RNAcentral lists this ribosomal RNA (540 nucleotides) under Lebbeus compressus. RNAcentral's name for it is "partial 16S ribosomal RNA". It matches the Rfam family "Bacterial large subunit ribosomal RNA", at positions 1831 to 2625 of the family's 2925-position model. The record is from RNAcentral. Lineage: Eukaryota; Metazoa; Arthropoda; Malacostraca; Decapoda; Hippolytidae.
UUUUGUUGGUUUAUAUAAACAAUUUAGUCUGCCCACUGGCUGUAAGUUAAAGGGCCGCGGUAUUUUGACCGUGCGAAGGUAGCAUAAUCAAUAGUCUUUUAAUUGGAGGCUGGAAUGAAUGGCUGCACGAGAAGUAAGCUGUCUCAUCUUUAAAAAUUGAAUUUUACUUUUAAGUGAAAAGGCUUAAAUAGCCUGAAGGGACGAUAAGACCCUAUAAAACUUUACAAUUUAUUUUUGCUUUAUGAAUUUUUGUCUUAAUUAAGUUAGAUGUAGUAUUGUUAGGUUGGGGCGACUAUUAUAUAAUUUAGUAACUGUAAAUAAAAGAAAUAAAUUUAUUUAGUUAAUUGAUCCUUUAAUAAAGAUUAAAAGAUAAAGUUACUUUAGGGAUAACAGCGUAAUUUUUUCUGAGAGUUCUUAUCGAUGAAAAUUAGUUGCGACCUCGAUGUUGAAUUAAAGUAUCUUUUAAGUGUAGCAGCUUAGGUUAGGUUGGUCUGUUCGACCAUUAAAACUUUACAUGAUUUGAGUUCAAACCGGUGUGAG